Molecule: ribosomal RNA, 206 nt
Filed under: uncultured bacterium
Lineage: Bacteria
Description: partial 16S ribosomal RNA
Rfam family: Bacterial small subunit ribosomal RNA
Source: RNAcentral
CGGAUUGCAGGCUGCAACCCGCCUGCAUGAAGUUGGAAUCGCUAGUAAUCGCGGAUCAGCAUGCCGCGGUGAAUACGUUCCCGGGCCUUGUACACACCGCCCGUCACACCAUGAGAGUCGGGAACACCCGAAGUCCGUAGCCUAACCGCAAGGGGGCGCGGCCGAAGGUGGGUUCGAUAAUUGGGGUGAAGUCGUAACAAGGUACC